Cololabis saira (Pacific saury) is the source of this 417-nucleotide long non-coding RNA. RefSeq lists it as uncharacterized. The record is from RefSeq and is a predicted model, not a curated record. Lineage: Eukaryota; Metazoa; Chordata; Actinopteri; Beloniformes; Belonidae. The transcript is spliced from 4 exons.
GGAAAGCCAAAUAAACCAUAAUAAACACAUUCCCAUCAUUUAUUUUAAUCUGGUUAUCACACCGAGUUCACCUCUACGAUCCAGCUGACAGAGAGGCACUGAUAAAGUUACGGAAAACAUCUUAUUUAUUGGUGUGGAGAGGUCAGAGGUCAUCAUGGUGAAACGGACGCGGUGGAUGGACAGGUGUUUCCGAGCUGCUGCACGAGGCGGCGUGGCGAGGGUUCAGUUUCCCAUGGGUCCUGUGCAGAGAGCCGCGCCGCCACCUCAGCCGGUUUCAGGUACAGGGAGCUCUCCUGGCCAGCCCAACUCCAGCUCUGCUACUGCACAAGAACAGAGAGGACCCGAGGGGGGGAGCCACGCGGGAGGCCCGGGACCUGAUGGAGGCUCGGGAGAGACGGAGCCAAAGAGAGUGAGGCA